Molecule: unclassified non-coding RNA, 701 nt
Filed under: Phytopythium vexans
Lineage: Eukaryota; Oomycota; Peronosporomycetes; Pythiales; Pythiaceae
Description: sequence contains ITS1, 5.8S rRNA gene, ITS2
Rfam family: 5.8S ribosomal RNA (bases 210-364)
Source: RNAcentral
UUUUGUUUUGCUUUCGAGUGCUUUGUUGUGCUCGGAGCAUGUUUGGGCUUCGCUGCUGGCGCUUGAUUGUGCUGGCGGCUCGAGGCCAUCAAGCGGCGUUUUGAGUGUGUGUUCGCAUACAAUUAAAACGUCCAAACCUUUUAAACCCAUUUGAUUGAAAACUGAAGUAUACUGUGGGGACGAAAGUCCUCGCUUUGAAACUAGAUAACAACUUUCAGCAGUGGAUGUCUAGGCUCGCACAUCGAUGAAGAACGCUGCGAACUGCGAUACGUAAUGCGAAUUGCAGGAUUCAGUGAGUCAUCGAACUUUUGAACGCAUAUUGCACUUUCGGGUUACGCCUGGAAGUAUGUCUGUAUCAGUGUCCGUACACUAAACUUGCGUCUCUUCCGUCGUGUAGUCGUCGGUUGUUUGAUUGCAGAUGUGAGGUUGUCUCGCGAUCCGUUGCUUGUCGACAGGGUUGCGAGUCCCUUUAAAGUCGGACGCGUGUUUUUCCGUUUUGUGCUUGAUGGGGUGCGGCUGCGGCCGUGUCUGCUGGCGGGUCCGGUGACCUUUGGCGAUGGCAUGAGAGUGGAUUGCUCGAUUUGCGGUAUGUUAGGCUUCGGCUUUGACAAUGCAGCUUAUUGUGUAUGUUCGCUUGGCUGUUGCUGUAUGGGUGAGCUGGAUGGUUGGUGGGUGCGUUGUUGCGUGUCGUUUUCAUCGAG